AGAGUUUGAUCAUGGCUCAGAGUGAACGCCGGCGGCGUGCCUAACACAUGCAAGUCGAACGAGGACGGGUUCCAGUUUACAGUAACUGUCAGCUAAGUGGCGCACGGGUGAGUAAUAUAUAGUUAAUCUGCCCCAAAGAAGAGAAUAAUUGUAGGAAACGACUUGUAAUGCUCUAUAUGCCUUUAUCACAUAAGUGAGCAAGGGAGACAUUUAUGGCUUUGGGAUGAGACUGUACGGUAUCAGCUAGUUGGUGAGGUAAUGGCUCACCAAGGCUAUGACAUCUAACUGGUUUGAGAGGAUGAUCAGUCACACUGGAACUGAGACACGGUCCAGACUCCUACGGGAGGCAGCAGUGGGGAAUAUUGCACAAUGGAGGAAACUCUGAUGCAGCAACGCCGCGUGGAGGAUGACACAUUUCGGUGCGUAAACUCCUUUUAUUAGGGAAGAUAAUGACG
RNAcentral lists this ribosomal RNA (455 nucleotides) under uncultured bacterium. Its description in RNAcentral is "bacterial SSU rRNA". It matches the Rfam family "Bacterial small subunit ribosomal RNA", at positions 8 to 456 of the family's 1533-position model. The record is from RNAcentral.